RNAcentral lists this ribosomal RNA (440 nucleotides) under uncultured bacterium. RNAcentral's name for it is "partial 16S ribosomal RNA". It matches the Rfam family "Bacterial small subunit ribosomal RNA", at positions 338 to 795 of the family's 1533-position model. The record is from RNAcentral.
CCUACGGGUGGCAGCAGUGGGGAAUAUUGCACAAUGGGGGAAACCCUGAUGCAGCGACGCCGCGUGAGUGAUGAAGUAUUUCGGUAUGUAAAGCCCUAUCAGCAGGGAAGAAAAUGACGGUAUCUGAUUAAGAAGCACCGGCUAACUACGUGCCAGCAGCCGCGGUAAUACGUAGGGGGCAAGCGUUAUCCGGAUUUACUGGGUGUAAAGGGAGCGUAGACGGGAGCACAAGUCUGGAGUGAAAUGCCGUGGCUUAACCCCGGAACUGCAUUGGAAACUGUGCAGCUAGAGUGCAGGAGAGGUAAGUGGAAUUCCUGGUGUAGCGGUGAAAUGCGUAGAGAUUAGGAGGAACACCAGUUGCGAAGGCGGCUUACUGGACUAUAACUGACGUUGAUGCGCGAAAGCGUGGGGAGCAAACAGGAUUAGAUACCCCUGUAGUC